Molecule: unclassified non-coding RNA, 345 nt
Filed under: soil metagenome
Description: partial contains 5.8S ribosomal RNA, internal transcribed spacer 2, and large subunit ribosomal RNA
Rfam family: 5.8S ribosomal RNA (bases 1-119)
Source: RNAcentral
GAUGAAGAACGUAGCGAAAUGCGAUACGUAAUGUGAAUUGCAAAUUCAGUGAAUCAUCGAGUCUUUGAACGCACAUUGCGCCCCCUGGUAUUCCGGGGGGCAUGCCUGUCCGAGCGUCAUUGCUGCCCUCAAGCACGGCUUGUGUGUUGGGCCCCGUCCUCCGAUCCCGGGGGACGGGCCCGAAAGGCAGCGGCGGCACCGCGUCCGGUCCUCGAGCGUAUGGGGCUUUGUCACCCGCUCUGUAGGCCCGGCCGGCGCCUGCCGAUCAACCCAAAUUUUUUAUCCAGGUUGACCUCGGAUCAGGUAGGGAUACCCGCUGAACUUAAGCAUAUAAUAAGCGGAGGA